Non-coding RNA from Vicugna pacos (alpaca), 2795 nucleotides. Lineage: Eukaryota; Metazoa; Chordata; Mammalia; Artiodactyla; Camelidae. The record is from RefSeq and is a predicted model, not a curated record.
AGGCUGCGCCCUUGGCCGCGACAGAGAAGGGCUUGCCUUUUAUUCCUACGCUUCAGGGACACAUGUCCGACGCGGCUCGGGGCCUCAGCGAAAUCUGCCACCAGGUUCUCCUGUGGGCUUCACCUCUUCCUGGGACCCAAGACCCGGGCUCGGGCAGUAAAGUGCGAGGCGGCGACCUCUCUUUUCCUGCCGGACUUCCCACCCCACCUCCCCACCCCCGCCUGAGAAAUUGUGAGAAACGUGCGAGCGUGCAGGGGCCGUAAAGGCGCCGGGCCGUGCCCUGCCCAACCCGGGCACCGCCCUGACUGCGGAUUCGCUCCUGUGGGUUUCCGGGCUGACGGGGCAGACUCGGAGUAGCGGAGCUCAACCCCUGGGAUCCUCCCAGCCGCAGAAAGGAAUACUAGUUUACAGGAUCAACAGGAAGGCUAAAGAAUUAAGGAAGAUUGUUUCAGGAAACACCACCAGAUCACACUACAAGAAAGCCUGUUCCUGAGCAUAGAAAGAAUGAUAACCAUGGAAUGGUUUUACACUGGGCCCGCUGUAAGGCAGAUAAGUUCCAUGAGCCUCCACUCUGAUGGACCACGGGGACCUUCAUGUUAGCUGAAAGACAGUGACUAAUAAUCUCUCAAAAAGAAGCCAGCCCUCCUCCAGCUCCGGGUGAGCCCCAGACCUGCCACGCUGUGCCUGCCUUGCCCAAGCCACGCUCCAGCUGGGACAUGGUCUUUCCGGUCUCUGCAGGCUGAGACACCUGAGGCUUUAAUUACUUCAAAGCCUUUCUGGAAGCAGGUGAGAUAAGUGCUGAGGCAGUUGGUCCAAGGGCCACACUCGGAGUUGCAAGAGGCUGGAGAAAUGGGCAUCACAGUUCACCUGGGAAGAAGAGAAGAGAUGCUGAAAGGGAGGCUGCAACCUGAAGACAGGAUUCCCAACCUCACCAGGACCUAAGUAGAGGGGCAAGCUCACUGGAGUGGUCCAGUGAGAAAAGCAGAGCAUGGGCUCUGUGGUUCCAGGAAGAAGGUCUGGUUCUGAUCACCCGCAAACUGCUACACUGGGCUGUGCCUUAGCCCCCUGCCUCAUGUCCCCAUCUGCUCAAUGGGCAUUGUGACUCCCAAUGUCUAUGCCUCAAGGUUGUUCUGGGGAUUGAAUGUGAGGGUCUCGGCACACAGCGAAACUACUUUUUGAAAUGACUGAGGCUCCUGUCAAGAGUUUCAGAUGACUUACAAAGAUUGUGUUUUCCUGUUUUUUAUUAUCAUGGCUGUACUCUUCAUGAAACCAUUUUUGCUUUAUUUAUUCAAUCAUUCAGUCAUUCAACAGUUAUAUGUUGAAAGCCCACCAUGUGCUUCUAAAGAAUUUGUUGCCUGAAUUCUCCUGUCUCAUGGAAUCCAGAUUCACAGAAGGUUAAAGCUGAAGAAAAGAAAAAGGCCAGCUGGAUCUUGGCUCCACUUGCCAAGUCCAGAGUCUCCAUUUGUCUUUCUCCACCCAGUAUGCUCCCUCCCUCUGACCUCCCUCUCCAGCUGGAUCUGCAGGAGAGAAAACUGGCCAAAACUUCAGCCAUAUCCUGAUUGUCCUCCCAGGGACAGGGGCUAUGGAAUUCCUGCUCAUCCUUAAACUUACUUAUACAAACACAUUUAUAGGCACAGUCACAGGAGUUUUGAAAUCAAAUCAAGGUGGUUUCUUCCCAACAGAUAAAAGGAAAAGAGAAAGAAAUCAAUGCUGUUGCCUUCUGUUGGGCCACGGACCCUUUAGGAAUCUGAUAACAAUACGUGAUGCCAUCACUAUUCAAAAAAAAAAAACUCCACACUUAAGCACACCUGUGCCCCCAGCUGCAGGGGAUUCUGGACACUGGGUUAAGAAUGCCAGGUCUAGAGGCUCCUUUAAGCUUAGGGAUACAGAGAAAAUACAGCCAGACAACAGGUUAAGGUGGUGAGUACGAUGAAGAUCCCUAGUUUUCAGUGUUAUCACACUGUUCGUAUACCCUCAAGUCCCCAGCUCCAUCAGUGGCCACUCACAGCCACCCUUUACAGCAUCCCGCAUGUCAGGUGCAGACUUGCCCAGCCGGGGCAUCCCUGUCAGCUGCUUCUCCUAGGACCCUCGGGCAUCUCAGUGCAUUAUGCCAUUGGUAUGGAAACCCUGAACCACUUCUUUCUGGUCUGUGGCUGAUUUCACUUUGAGUGGCCAGGGCUCCCACAAGUGUCCUCCAACAUUAUUCUCAGUCUUCCUCCUCUUAAGCUUAGGCUAGCACAAAAAAUAACGCACCUUUUUCCCCAGCACAGAAGUCCACAGACCUUUACUCAGAACCCAGAGGGAGUGGAAGGAAAUACACAAGAAGAUCCAAAAGCAUAAAAAUGGUUCACCAUCUCCAGGACAUCUCCUUGACCCCGGAUCCUGGACACAAGCUGGUGGCCCCAGGUCUUGGUUUCUGCCCUCCUAUCUCCUUAUCCCUGUCUCAAGGACUGCCUUUCUUAAAUGAUCCCUUUACUGCCUUUUUUCUCAGGUUCCCUCUAACUCUUCCCUCUGUCACUGUCUUCCUCGGGGGCUGUGUAUGAGGAAGAUGCAACUGUCCCCAGGAACAGAGAAGAAAAUGCUAGUUUUCUACCAAUAUCUGCUCUUCUUUCUUUUCUUUCUUUCUCUCUCUUUCUUUCUUCCUUCCUUCCUUCCUUCCUUCCUUUUUUGGUUUGAAAAACAACUUUUAAUUUAUUAAGUUUUUAACGCUCAGGCUUUUUUUUUUUUUGCAUCCAGUUUGGGGAGGGGGUUUCUCAUCCCCUUUGAAACCUACCCUAGACUCUCUAUCUUUUUUU